RNAcentral lists this unclassified non-coding RNA (220 nucleotides) under Dothideomycetes sp. Its description in RNAcentral is "partial contains 5.8S ribosomal RNA, internal transcribed spacer 2, and large subunit ribosomal RNA". The record is from RNAcentral. Lineage: Eukaryota; Fungi; Ascomycota; Dothideomycetes.
CGCACAUUGCACCUCUUGGUAUUCCUUGAGGUAUGCCUGUUCGAGCGCCGUUUGACUCUAGGACAUUGUCCUGUGUUGAGCUUUGUGGUUUUCCACAGGCUCCAAAAUCAUAUGCCCAAGCCACUUGCGCAAAAGCAGCGAAAGUGCUUCCACCAAUUGGGACUGGGCAAGUCAACGACCGCAUGGCCUCGAAUCAGGUAGGGCUACCCGCUGAACUUAA